RNAcentral lists this ribosomal RNA (356 nucleotides) under uncultured bacterium. RNAcentral describes it as "bacterial SSU rRNA". It matches the Rfam family "Bacterial small subunit ribosomal RNA", at positions 29 to 412 of the family's 1533-position model. The record is from RNAcentral.
AACGAACGCUGGCGGCAUGCCUAACACAUGCAAGUCGAACGAGACCUUCGGGUCUAGUGGCGCACGGGUGCGUAACGCGUGGGAACCUGCCUUUAGGUUCGGAAUAACUCAGAGAAAUUUGAGCUAAUACCGGAUGAUGUCUUCGGACCAAAGAUUUAUCGCCUUUAGAUGGGCCCGCGUAAGAUUAGCUAGUUGGUGGGUAAAGGCCUACCAAGGCGACGAUCUUUAGCUGGUCUGAGAGGAUGAUCAGCCACACUGGGACUGAGACACGGCCCAGACUCCUACGGGAGGCAGCAGUGGGGAAUAUUGGACAAUGGGCGAAAGGCCUGAUCCAGCAAUGCCGCGUGAGUGAUGAA